UUAACUUUUAAUAUAAUUUUAUUAAUUACAAAAAUUAUUUAAUUUUAAAAUUAUUAAUAUUAAUAAUAAAAUUAUAUUAAAAGUUAAAGUUUAGCUUUAAAUUUAAUUAUAUUAUUUAAAUAUAAAUAUAAUAUUUUAUUUAAAUAAAAUAUUAAAUUAAUAUUUAAAAUUAAAAUAAAUUAAAGAAAUUUAAAAUUAGAUAUUAAUAAAUUAUUAGUUAAUAAUGUGCCAGCAACUGCGGUUAAACAUUUUAAUAAAAUUAAAUUUAUUUAAUUAAUAAUUAAAAUAAAUUUUUUAUAAAAAUAUUAAAUUUAAUAGAUUAAAUUAUAAAUUUUUAAUAAUUAAAUUAUUUUUAUUAAAAUUAAUUAAUUUUUAAUUAAACUAGGAUUAGAGACCCUAUUAUUUUAAACUUAAAAAAUUAAUUUAUUAUUAAAUGAUUAAUCAUUAAAAUUAAAAACUAUGGCUGUAUUUAAUUUAUAUUAAAGAAACUUAUCAAAUAAUUGACAUUACACAAUAAAAAAAACUUAAUUUAAAAUUUAGUGUAUUGUCGUUUUAAAUUAUUUUAUAAUUUUAAAUAAUAAAAUAAAAUUUUAUUUUUAAAAAUUCAGAUCAUAAUACUAUUAUAAUUAAGAAAAAACGAGUUACAAUAAUUUUAUUAAAAAUUUAUAAUUUAAUUUAUAAAAAUUUAGAAUCUAAAAGUAAAAUUAAUUUAAUUAAUUAAUUUGAUUUUUAAAUUAAAUAAGUACAAAUAGCCCGUCAUUUUCAUUUUAAAAUGAAACAAGUCGUAACAUAGUAAAAGUACUAGAAAGUGCUUUUAGAAUA
Molecule: ribosomal RNA, 822 nt
Filed under: Taeniogonalos taihorina
Lineage: Eukaryota; Metazoa; Arthropoda; Insecta; Hymenoptera; Trigonalidae
Description: 12S ribosomal RNA
Source: RNAcentral